GACGAACGCUGGCGGCGUGCUUAACACAUGCAAGUCGAACGGAAAGGCCCUGCUUUUGUGGGGUGCUCGAGUGGCGAACGGGUGCGUAACACGUGAGUAACCUGCCCUUGACUUUGGGAUAACUUCAGGAAACUGGGGCUAAUACCGGAUAGGAGCUCCUGCUGCAUGGUGGGGGUUGGAAAGUUUCGGCGGUUGGGGAUGGACUCGCGGCUUAUCAGCUUGUUGGUGGGGUAGUGGCUUACCAAGGCUUUGACGGGUAGCCGGCCUGAGAGGGUGACCGGCCACAUUGGGACUGAGGUACGGCCCAGACUCCUACGGGAGGCAGCAGUGGGGAGUAUUGCACAAUGGUCGGAAGCCUGAUGCAGCAACGCCGCGUGCGGGAUGACGGCCUUCGGGUUGUAAACCGCUUUCGCCUGUGACGAAGCGUGAGUGACGGUAAUGGGUAAAGAAGCACCGGCUAACUACGUG
RNAcentral lists this ribosomal RNA (468 nucleotides) under uncultured bacterium. Its description in RNAcentral is "partial 16S ribosomal RNA". It matches the Rfam family "Bacterial small subunit ribosomal RNA", at positions 28 to 507 of the family's 1533-position model. The record is from RNAcentral.